CCGCCAUUAGCUCAGCAGGAUAGAGCGAUCAUGCCAUACGGAAAUGACGGUGCGAGGUUCAAGUCCUCGAUGGCGGUCCA
This 80-nucleotide transfer RNA is filed under the name Rahnella aceris. RNAcentral describes it as "tRNA-OTHER". Lineage: Bacteria; Pseudomonadati; Pseudomonadota; Gammaproteobacteria; Enterobacterales; Yersiniaceae. The record is from RNAcentral.